Molecule: ribosomal RNA, 253 nt
Filed under: uncultured bacterium
Lineage: Bacteria
Description: partial 16S ribosomal RNA
Rfam family: Bacterial small subunit ribosomal RNA
Source: RNAcentral
UACGAAGGGGGCUAGCGUUGCUCGGAAUGACUGGGCGUAAAGGGCGCGUAGGCGGAUGGCUUUGUCGGGCGUGAAAUUCCAGGGCUUAACCUUGGGGCUGCGUUCGAGACGGGUUGUCUUGAGUGGGGAAGAGGGUCGUGGAAUUCCCAGUGUAGAGGUGAAAUUCGUAGAUAUUGGGAAGAACACCGGUGGCGAAGGCGGCGACCUGGUCCUUGACUGACGCUGAGGCGCGAAAGCGUGGGGAGCAAACAGG